Molecule: ribosomal RNA, 497 nt
Filed under: uncultured bacterium
Lineage: Bacteria
Description: partial 16S ribosomal RNA
Rfam family: Bacterial small subunit ribosomal RNA
Source: RNAcentral
GAUGAACGCUGGCGGCGUGCCUAAUACAUGCAAGUCGAGCGAACGGACGAGAAGCUUGCUUCUCUGAUGUUAGCGGCGGACGGGUGAGUAACACGUGGAUAACCUACCUAUAAUACUGGGAUAACUUCGGGAAACCGUAGCUAAUACCGGAUAAUAUUUUGAACCGCAUGGUUCAAAAGUGAAAGACGGUCUUGCUGUCACUUAUAGAUGGAUCCGCGCUGCAUUAGCUAGUUGGUAAGGUAACGGCUUACCAAGGCAACGAUGCAUAGCCGACCUGAGAGGGUGAUCGGCCACACUGGAACUGAGACACGGUCCAGACUCCUACGGGAGGCAGCAGUAGGGAAUCUUCCGCAAUGGGCGCAAGCCUGACGGAGCAACGCCGCGUGAGUGAUGAAGGUCUUCGGAUCGUAAAACUCUGUUAUUAGGGAAGAACAUAUGUGUAAGUAACUGUGCACAUCUUGACGGUACCUAAUCAGAAAGCAACGGCUAACUACGUG